Long non-coding RNA from Sinocyclocheilus rhinocerous, 188 nucleotides. RefSeq lists it as uncharacterized. Lineage: Eukaryota; Metazoa; Chordata; Actinopteri; Cypriniformes; Cyprinidae. The record is from RefSeq and is a predicted model, not a curated record. The transcript is spliced from 3 exons.
UUUCCAUGUUGAUGGCUCACCGAACUUGCCAAAUAAUUUCCUCGCUUCUGGGGAUGGAGAAAUUAUCAACCCCCCUGCUGAGGACGGAAGCUCGGAUGUCAUUUUCUUGCAGAAGCCUUUCAAAUACUUUGGACGCACAUACAAUCAGAUCUUCGUGAACAACAACGGCUACCUAACGUUCACCGAGC